RNAcentral lists this long non-coding RNA (318 nucleotides) under Physcomitrium patens. RNAcentral describes it as "long non-coding RNA (PPAT_LNC014758)". Lineage: Eukaryota; Viridiplantae; Streptophyta; Bryopsida; Funariales; Funariaceae. The record is from RNAcentral.
CCUUUGUAAAUACGGUUGUAUCUAUAGAAGAAGAAAAAAUAAAUAAAUAAAAUAAAAUACUAAAAUUUUCAAAAAAAUACUUUAUUUGUAGGCCCACAUUGUCUUAUAACAUAUUGUCUUGCUUGAAAAUGCAUUAGGCACUUUUUUGUGGAAAGUAAAUUGGAAAUUAUAAUAAAUUUCUUAAAAAUUCUGAUAUAAUCUUAAAUAUGUUUUAAUUGAAAAAUUAAUAAUUUUAAUCAAAUCUUAAUUAAUUCUAAAAAAAUCUUAAAUGAAAUUUAAAAGAAUCAUAAAAAUUCUAAAGAAAUACUAAAAAAAAUU